This 689-nucleotide long non-coding RNA is filed under the name Pan troglodytes (chimpanzee). RNAcentral describes it as "long non-coding RNA NONPTRT013995". Lineage: Eukaryota; Metazoa; Chordata; Mammalia; Primates; Hominidae. The record is from RNAcentral.
UUGUAGGGUUUUACACUUCCACCAGCAAUGUAUGAGAAGACCUUUCUCUACAUUUUAACCAAUGAUGAAUGUGUUCUCUUUUUAAUACUGGGCAAAGGAUGAAAAAAGCAUCUGUUUUAAUUUGCAUUCCCUUUUACCAUUUGAAUUUUCUGUGAAUUGCCCAUUAUUAUUUAUCAAACAAGGUUAACUUUGAACAAAAAUAAGUAGUUCCACUACUUUAAAAAAAGUAAAUUGCUGCUAAUAUUAGGAUUUUGAGGUACAUAUACAUUUAAAAAUGAAGUAGAUAAUGUAUAGAACUCACUUUUUUUAAAGAAAGAACUUUCUCUGAAUAAAGAGAUUAACUUUAAAUAAAAGUGUUUUAAUAACAUUAAAGGUUAAGUUUAGUCAGGCACCGUGGCACACACCUGUAGUCCCAGCUACCCAGGAGGCUGAGGCAAGCAGGAUCGCUUGAACCCAGGAGUUCGGGUUACAAUGAGCUAUCAUUGCACCACUGCAUGCCAGCCUGGAUGACAGAGCAAGACCUGGUCUCUAAAAAAGUCUUUUAACAAAGGUUAAGGUUAACCUUUGUUUGGCUUGAAGACCAGAAAAUUAGACACUACAAGAUUGAAGACAGCUAAUUUAAGAAACAUCCACAGCAGUGACUGGCACAAGUUCUUUGAAAAGUGUCUCAGAGAUGUUGACUGUCCUUU